AGAGUUUGAUCCUGGCUCAGGAUGAACGCUAGCGGGAGGCUUAACACAUGCAAGUCGAGGGGCAGCAUGGAGUAGCAAUACUCUGAUGGCGACCGGCAGACGGGUGAGUAACGCGUAUGCAACCUACCCUGUACUGGGGCAUAACCCGGAGAAAUUCGGACUAAUACCCCAUAGUAAUAUCGAGAGGCAUCUUGAGAUAUUUAAAGUUCCGGCGGUACGGGAUGGGCAUGCGUAACAUUAGCUAGUUGGUAGGGUAAUGGCCUACCAAGGCUACGAUGUUUAGGGGUCCUGAGAGGGUGAUCCCCCACACUGGUACUGAGACACGGACCAGACUCCUACGGGAGGCAGCAGUGAGGAAUAUUGGUCAAUGGGCGCAAGCCUGAACCAGCCAUCCCGCGUGCAGGAAGACGGCGCUAUGCGUUGUAAACUGCUUUUCCAGGGGAAGAAAACCCGCUACGAGUAGCGGCUUGCCGGUACCCUGGGAAUAAGCAUCGGCUAACUCCGUGCCAGCAGCCGCGGUAAUACGGAGGAUGCGAGCGUUAUCCGGAUUUAUUGGGUUUAAAGGGUGCGUAGGCGGAUUAAUAAGUCAGUGGUGAAAACCUGCAGCUUAACUGUAGAACUGCCAUUGAUACUGUUAGUCUUGAGUACGGUCAAGGUAGGCGGAAUGUGUAAUGUAGCGGUGAAAUGCUUAGAUAUUACACAGAACACCGAUUGCGAAGGCAGCUUACUGGGCCAUUACUGACGCUGAUGCACGAAAGCGUGGGGAGCAAACAGGAUUAGAUACCCUAGUAGUCC
This 795-nucleotide ribosomal RNA is filed under the name uncultured bacterium. RNAcentral's name for it is "bacterial SSU rRNA". It matches the Rfam family "Bacterial small subunit ribosomal RNA", at positions 8 to 796 of the family's 1533-position model. The record is from RNAcentral.